CUAGACAGAAGGAAGAGAGGAAUUAAAGACAAGGCUAUGAUUGCGAGUUUAGGCGAUAGAGAAAAAAAGGAAGGAUGUAGCAGGAAAAGUGUCAUUAGGAAGAAGACAAAAUGCUUCAUCCAUUAAGAAGAAAUGUCAGGACUUUUCAGGAAAUGUAUACCUGCUUCUGAGAUUAUUACGACUUCUAGCAAUCUUAUAUCUACAGUUUUAGUGGCAGUGGUACAAAAUGAGAAGUCUCCCCAAGGAACAGAGACUGGAGAGCUUUGAAAAAAAUAUUAAAUUGCUGCCUCAAAUCAUAAUAUAUGACCAUUAGCUCCCCUCUAAAGUACAAUAUCCCCCACUGCCAAAAAACAAACCCACCACGACCACAAGACUAUGAAAGCAAGACACUCCACUGUAUGUGCUUCUCCACAGGGGAGAGGAGGUGAAAACAAACAACACGAGGGAAGGUUCUCCCAUUGAUCCAGUAACUGUUUGAAAGAUAGGAAACAAAGGGUACGAAUAAACAGUCAAUUUUCACAGUAGAGUGAGAUAAAUAGUGGGAGUCUCCCAACAAUCUGUACUGGGACUGUACACUGCUGUUCAACAUAUUCAGAAAUGAUCUGGAAAAAGGGGUAAACAGUGAGGUGACAAAUUUUGCAGAUGAUACACAAUUACUCAAGAUAGUAAAGUCCAAAGCUGAUUGUGAAGAGUUACAAAGAAAUCCCACAAAACUGGGUGACUGGGCCACAAAAUGGCAGAUGAAAUUCAAUGUGGAUAAAUGCACAACUCAACUAUAAUCUCAACUAUACAGGCAAAACGAUGGGGUCUAAAUUAAUUGUUACCAUUCAAGGUACAGAUCUUGGGGUCAUUGUGGAUAGUUCUCUGAAAACAUCUUCUCAAUGUGCAGUGGCAGCCAAAAAAGCAAACAGAAUAUUAGGAACCAUAACGAAAGGGAUAGAUAAUAAGUCAGUAAACAUCUUAAUGACCCUAUAGAAAUCUAUGGUAUGACCAUACCUUGCUGAAAUUCUGGUCACCCCGUCUAAAAAUAUAUAUAUUAUGAUGGGGAAAAGUACAGAGAAGACCAACAGAAGUUGGUCCAAUAAAAUAUAUUACCUCACCCAUCUUGUCUCUCUAAUAUCCUAGUACCAACUCAGCUCCAACACCACUGCAUAUAACCUCUGUAUAUGACAUUUUUUUGUCUGCUCUACUUUUGUUUGGUUAAUGUUCACAUGAUGAAUCUCUAAUCCAUCCUCAGUUGAGCUAGGAAUACCUAAAUUAGAUUCCAAAACUCAUAUCUUCCUCAUGUCUUGUCAUUUAUUGGUUACUCAAAAACAACAACAAAAUCCCAGUUUAGGACUGUUUCUAGUUUAAAUGAAUUUGAAGAAGUUACAGACUAUUCAUGAGAAAAGGUAUUGGGUAAUUGAGGUAGGGGACUUUAGCCCCCUUUCUCCUUCCCAACCCUAAAAAUAGGGAUUGUAUUAAUAAACAAAGAAAACACUAAGUUUGGAACAGUGUUGGAUCAUAUUAAAGAAGUUCUGUAUUAAAAUCACAAAUGAGUUUGAUUCCCCAUAGUUUAAAUUCCAGGGUAUUACUAAUUAAGAGGUCUCUUGUUUUUUGGUCUCUUAUUUUUACUGUUUCUCUCCCUCUCUGUGUGAAACUUGCAAACUGCUACUUGUGUUAGUAUGUUCUAAAACAGAGUCUGUUCUCAAAGCAAUACUUCGUAACAACAACUACUGACAGAGAGAGAGAGAGACUCAAAGCGAUACUUGGUAACAACAGAAACAGCACACAGAGACUCCCCGCCCUUUUGUUGUAUUUAUCUCGCUUUGUUAACAAUUGUGAUUAAAAUAGAGAUUGUGGAUGGAUGCUUGGUGUGGAUAAUAAAUGAAUAAUCAGGGAGGUGCCAGCCUAGGAGUUCAGUAUUGAUCGGCCGAAGAAUGCGCAGAGUGGAGACAACCAGAGGGCCCCCGGAGGGCAGACUGGAAUCCACCCAACAGCCUCAAGGAUGGGAGCACCGAAGAACAAGAUAAUAGCUGGCAGCAUGGAGGCAUCAGGGAUGUGCCAUCUGCUGAUUGAUUCAGCAACAGCAUGAUGAAGCAAUUCCCAUAGACUGGCAUAGGAAUAAAUUCCUAUAAAAAUGGACUCUAGAAACUGAGAACUUUGGGGUCUGAUUCUGCAAACCAACUUCCAGGAGCAUCAGAUGAGCAUCUGACAAGGCCCUGCUCCCUCCUCGUAUCCAGGCCACCUGGCCAGUGGCUUGGCACGAGCAAUUUUAAGGCUGGUAACUAUAAUAACAACCUUGCAGAACCUGUGUGUGUGUGUAUGAAUGAAUGUGUGAAUAAAUAUGAAAUUGAAUGGAAUGUUAUAGCUAUAACUAACUGCUUACUGUGAUUCUUUCUGUAUUCACAGUAAAUGUGGCAUUUUGCCUUAUUCCCGUUAAUAAGAUCCUGCUGGUUUUUAUUUUAUUGGUAUAACAACAGAAGCUCAUUUAUUUCAUUUUAUUAAAAAUGGACAAAUUCAGUCAUGAUACAAACUGUUCAUUAAAGUGUUAUUCAACA
Caretta caretta (loggerhead turtle) is the source of this 2540-nucleotide non-coding RNA. The record is from RefSeq and is a predicted model, not a curated record. NCBI's taxonomy places the organism in Eukaryota, Metazoa, Chordata, Testudines, Cheloniidae.